GAGCAAGCUUCCUUCAGAGACCAGUUAUUUAAUACAAGUCUUUCUAAGGGGCAGCUUCUUGUACAGCUUUGUCUGACACGUGAAACAUUUGGUGCCAAAACCCGGGUCAGCGGGACUCCUUCGGGAGACCAGUCCACUGUCCUCAUCCUCGCUCUGUGAAGAGAUCCACCUACGACCUCGGGUCCUCAGACCAACCAGCCCAAGGAACAUCUCACCGAUUUUAAUUGGGACCCCACUGGAAAUUGGACUGUCCAACUGGCCCAAGGCUCUAACUGACUCCUUCCCAGAUCUUCUCGGCUUAGCAACUGAAGACUGACACUGCCCGAU
RNAcentral lists this long non-coding RNA (327 nucleotides) under Papio anubis (olive baboon). RNAcentral's name for it is "lncRNA (ENSPANG00000048309.1)". The record is from RNAcentral. Lineage: Eukaryota; Metazoa; Chordata; Mammalia; Primates; Cercopithecidae.